This 1866-nucleotide long non-coding RNA is filed under the name Apis dorsata (giant honeybee). RNAcentral describes it as "uncharacterized LOC102671985". The record is from RNAcentral. Lineage: Eukaryota; Metazoa; Arthropoda; Insecta; Hymenoptera; Apidae.
AUAUAAAUAAUUUGGGAAAAUCAAAUUUGAUUUUUAUUGAUUACUAUAUAUGAUACAAACGAUGUUUACAAUAAUUUAAUCCUUUGAGCGUGUAUUCUUGACAGAAGAAGUUGGUUAGGUACAUAUUUACAGAGUGUAUAAAUAAGAAUCGAUCAAAGUAAAUCGACGCAGUUACUUUCACAUUGAGUGGAUUUAAUAUUUUGCGGGAAGGUAACAUCAAAAUGGGGACACAGCUAUUAAUUAUUGAGACAGUGAUACAGUGUAAUGCAAUCCCAUAAAUAAUAAGGAGACCGAGUGCUAUGUACCAGAGACAUUUGAAACGGAUUUUCUCUCAUAAAUCGAUUUAAUUCCGCCGGGCAAAUGCGAUUUUAUUGCAACGAAAUAUAUAACGCAUUAUUAACAAACGUCAUCGAUUAAUUGGAUAAAAAGAUUACAUUCAAAGUUAAAAAUAAAUUUCAAGUUAAAUUUUAUCUUCUCGAAAGAAAAGCAUGGAGUUGCAACACAUUGGAAGAAAAGAAGAAAGUUUAGAGAACCACGAAACGCAAUAGAAACUAAACGUAAUUGAAUGUCAUGUUUCAUAUCUAUCUUUUCUCGAGAAGAAAUAGCAGCUUUGCAUCGUGGAUCUCUGAAUUCCCGACAUUUUCCAAGAAUCCUUGACUGGAAAUCACGGCAUUCAACCUUCCAUGGUGUUUACUCAACCAGUGCCUCGUGGAACACACGUUAUAUGCAUGAGACUGAUAUGAGUUUCAGAAAGGAAAGUGCAACUAUAUCGACGAGGCGUCGAAAGGAAAUGCUUGCUGUAAUGUAAACUCCUUCAGGCCUUUGCGAUCGAAAAUUUACAAUCGAAAGUCCAUAUAUUUCAGAAAUAGAAUGUUUUCUAUUUUUAAUUCAUCAUACACUUGCACAUUUGAACAAUAUGAAACAAAAUAAUACGUGAAGAGCUCAAAGUUCACUUCUAUUUUCAAAAAUUGGUGAGCAACAAGUGACCAAUAGUAUACUUUCAGUAAUAUCAACAUUAACAUCACUUUUUUUUUCUGCAGAAAAUUUAUAUUUUUGUUGCAAUCUAUAAUUGUUGUAUCUACGAUUGAACAUAAGAAAAUUUCUCAUAAAUAGUAUCAUGUACGGAUUAAAAAGACAGAUUAAAAAAUUAAAUAAAACAUUGCAAAAAAAUAUCAAGGUUUAAUCUAUAGCAAUUGCAAUAUUAACGUUAAAAAUAGAAUGUUUUGUUGCAGAAUAUUGUGAAAGAUUAUAUGCUUGAUCGAUCUCCUGGAGAAAAGUAAUUUUUUAAAACACAUUAAACUUGUUCCCUUCUUCGCGAGCAGUAUUCUCGACAACAUGAAACUUCGACCCCACUUAAGAUCGUGUUUGCGUCGUUCAAAUCGAAUUUGCGAGCAUUUGACAAAUGGUCCAGGCUUGCUUCUGGCAGUUUUCUAAUCUCCUCAGCCUUCGAUCUUAAUUCACCUUGCUUUCUUGGUACACGCUGAGAAAAAUCCAUCUUCUGAGAUAUUCUUGGUCGCUAUUGCAACAUCUAAAGAACAACAGCGGUUUAAAACAAUUCUUCCCGUCAAUUCCAUCCUAUAAAUUCAUUUUUAUUUCUCUUACCUGGCAUUUAUUGCUCCCUACAUAUUCAUUUGAAUGUUCAUAGCCCAUUUGUGGAAAUGAACAGGCGACUAUUUGGCACGCAAACGCUUUACACGUAGCAACAGAUGUUGACCUAUUAUCGUGUAAUCUUUUACAUAUUUAAAUGCAAAUUACAUUUUAUAUUUACAAAUAGACGUACCAGGUGUCCACAAUUUUGAUGUAAAUUAUAUUAUUAAUAAUUUACAAGAUAUUUUUCUUGUCAAAUUUAUAAAUUUAUAUCCCGUU